Molecule: ribosomal RNA, 498 nt
Filed under: uncultured bacterium
Lineage: Bacteria
Description: partial 16S ribosomal RNA
Rfam family: Bacterial small subunit ribosomal RNA
Source: RNAcentral
AUUGAACGCUGGCGGCAUGCCUUACACAUGCAAGUCGAACGGUAACGCGGGGCAACCUGGCGACGAGUGGCGAACGGGUGAGUAACGCAUCGGAACGUGCCCAAUAGUGGGGGAUAGCCCGGCGAAAGCCGGAUUAAUACCGCAUACGACCUACGGGUGAAAGCAGGGGAUCGCAAGACCUUGCGCUAAUGGAGCGGCCGAUGUCAGAUUAGGUUGUUGGUGGGGUAAAAGCCCACCAAGCCGACGAUCUGUAGCUGGUCUGAGAGGACGACCAGCCACACUGGAACUGAGACACGGCCCAGACUGCUACGGGAGGCAGCAGUGGGGAAUUUUGGACAAUGGGCGCAAGCCUGAUCCAGCCAUGCCGCGUGCGGGAUGAAGGCCUUCGGGUUGUAAACCGCUUUUGUUAGGGAAGAAAUCUUUUGAGCUAAUACCUCGGAAGGAUGACGGUACCUAAAGAAUAAGCACCGGCUAACUACGUGCCAGCCACCGCCGUAA